CCACUUAGGAUUUUAAGGACUUGCUGCCCAAGUUAUGAUUGAUCCUUGGACCAGACGGUUUAUUAGAAACACAGACUCUCAGGUCCCACCUUGAUCCACUGAUUUAUAAAUAAUAUUCCUUAUCUUAGCAUCUACCUUUAGAUAUUAAUAUAAUUCAUCUUUCUUUUGAUUGGUAUUCAUAUGACAUAUCUUUCCCCAAUCCUUUCUUUUUAACUUGUCUAAAUCCUUAUAUUUCAGGGUUUCUUGUAGACUGUAUUUUUUUUUUUUGGUAGAUUGCAUAAAUAUACUUUGUUGAGAGCCACAGCCGAAGGGGCCCCAGCAAACUUCCAGCUGCCAGCAAACUUCCAGCUGCCGGCUGAUGAUUGGCUCACAGCGGCCCCAGCAACAUCUAGCUGAUUGGCUCCUCUGCGGUGAUGCUCAUUGGGCUGUUUCCCUGCCCUUUCAGACCACGGAGCUGCUCAUUGGGGGACUUUUUUGGCUCCGCCCACAUGACCCAGCCAAUCGGCCUCAAGAGCAGGAGGAUUGUGGGAGGGGGAGAGAAGCUUGUGUGGGAGAGAGAGGCUUGUGGAAAGCCGGUGGUGGCAGUUGAGGCUCUGAGGGUUUUUCCUGAGAGGCUGUUUUGUUUGGC
RNAcentral lists this long non-coding RNA (628 nucleotides) under Marmota monax (woodchuck). The record is from RNAcentral. Lineage: Eukaryota; Metazoa; Chordata; Mammalia; Rodentia; Sciuridae.